This 389-nucleotide unclassified non-coding RNA is filed under the name soil metagenome. RNAcentral's name for it is "partial contains 5.8S ribosomal RNA, internal transcribed spacer 2, and large subunit ribosomal RNA". The stretch from base 1 to 122 matches the Rfam family "5.8S ribosomal RNA", at positions 35 to 154 of the family's 154-position model. The record is from RNAcentral.
GAUGAAGAACGUAGCGAAAUGCGAUACUUGGUGUGAAUUGCAGAAUCCCGUGAACCAUCGAGUCUUUGAACGCAAGUUGCGCCCGAAGCCAUUAGGCCGAGGGCACGCCUGCCUGGGCGUCACACGUCGUUGCCCCCCCAUCUACUCCUUCGGGAUUGCGGGGGGUGGAUGAUGGCCUCCCGUGCGCCUCGCCGCGCGGUUGGCAUAAAUGCCAAGUCCUCGGCGACGCACGCCACGACAAUCGGUGGUUGCGAAACCUCGGUUGCCCGUCGUGUGCGGUCGUCGCGCAUCGAGGGCUCGAAAAAAUUGCCGGGUUCCGGCUCGGCUUUCAACGCGACCCCAGGUCAGGCGGGGUUACCCGCUGAAUUUAAGCAUAUCAAAGCGGAGGA